UCCGUGGUCGUGGAGAUAGUUGGGUUAAGUCCCGUAACGAGCGCAACCCUUGUCCUUAGUUACCAGCACCUCGGGUGGGCACUCUAAGGAGACUGCCGGUGACAAACCGGAGGAAGGUGGGGAUGACGUCAAGUCAUCAUGGCCCUUACGGCCAGGGCUACACACGUGCUACAAUGGUCGGUACAAAGGGUUGCCAAGCCGCGAGGAGGAGCUAAACCGCGAGGUGGCC
RNAcentral lists this ribosomal RNA (229 nucleotides) under uncultured bacterium. RNAcentral's name for it is "16S ribosomal RNA". It matches the Rfam family "Bacterial small subunit ribosomal RNA", at positions 1059 to 1287 of the family's 1533-position model. The record is from RNAcentral.